CCUACGGGAGGCAGCAGUGGGGAAUCUUCCGCAAUGGACGAAAGUCUGACGGAGCAACGCCGCGUGAGUGAUGACGGCCUUCGGGUUGUAAAGCUCUGUUAAUCGGGACGAAUGGCUACCAUGCGAAUAGUUUGGGAGUUUGACGGUACCGGAAUAGAAAGCCACGGCUAACUACGUGCCAGCAGCCGCGGUAAUACGUAGGUGGCAAGCGUUGUCCGGAAUUAUUGGGCGUAAAGCGCGCGCAGGCGGAUCUGCCAGUCUGUCUUAAAAGUUCGGGGCUCAACCCCGUGAUGGGAUGGAAACUACAGAUCUAGAGUAUCGGAGGGGAAAGUGGAAUUCCUAGUGUAGCGGUGAAAUGCGUAGAUAUUAGGAGGAACACCAGUGGCGAAGGCGACUUUCUGGACGAUCACUGACGCUGAGGCGCGAAAGCCAGGGGAGCGAACGGGAUUAGAUACCCCAGUAGUC
Molecule: ribosomal RNA, 465 nt
Filed under: uncultured Veillonella sp.
Lineage: Bacteria; Bacillati; Bacillota; Negativicutes; Veillonellales; Veillonellaceae
Description: bacterial SSU rRNA
Rfam family: Bacterial small subunit ribosomal RNA
Source: RNAcentral